This 237-nucleotide ribosomal RNA is filed under the name Triticum aestivum (bread wheat). RNAcentral's name for it is "partial small subunit ribosomal RNA". The record is from RNAcentral. Lineage: Eukaryota; Viridiplantae; Streptophyta; Magnoliopsida; Poales; Poaceae.
AUGGCGGACGACAUGGAGAGGAUCUUCAAGAGGUUCGACACGAACGGCGACGGGAAGAUCUCGCUGUCUGAGCUGACGGAUGCGCUGCGGACGCUGGGGUCGACCUCCGCGGACGAGGUGCAGCGCAUGAUGGCGGAGAUCGACACCGAUGGUGACGGCUUCAUCGACUUCAGCGAGUUCAUCUCCUUCUGCAACGCCAACCCGGGGCUCAUGAAGGACGUCGCCAAGGUCUUCUGA